GACGGUACCUUGAUCGGACGCCCCGGCCAAUUACGUGCCCGCAGCCGCGGUAAUACGUAAGGGGCGAGCGUUAAUCGGAAUUACUGGGCGUAAAGCGUGCGCAGGCGGUUUUGUAAGUCGGAUGUGAAAUCCCCGGGCUCAACCUGGGAACUGCGUUCGAAACUGCAAGGCUAGAGUGUGUCAAAGGGGGGUAGAAUUCCACGUGUAGCAGUGAAAUGCGUAGAGAUGUGGAGGAAUACCAAUGGCGAAGGCAGCCCCCUGGGAUAACACUGACGCU
This 277-nucleotide ribosomal RNA is filed under the name uncultured bacterium. Its description in RNAcentral is "partial 16S ribosomal RNA". It matches the Rfam family "Bacterial small subunit ribosomal RNA", at positions 471 to 747 of the family's 1533-position model. The record is from RNAcentral.